This is a long non-coding RNA of Acinonyx jubatus (cheetah), 3197 nucleotides long. RefSeq lists it as uncharacterized. The transcript has 3 exons. Lineage: Eukaryota; Metazoa; Chordata; Mammalia; Carnivora; Felidae. The record is from RefSeq and is a predicted model, not a curated record.
UAUAUAGGCAUAUAUGUAAUAUUGAAUUUUUUUAAUAUUUUUGAAAGAGAGAGAGAGAGUACAUAAACAGAGGAGGGGCAGAGAGAGAGGGGGAUAGAGGAUCCAAAGUGGGCUCUGUGCUGACCGUAGACAGCCUGAUGAAGCCACUAAUAUUAACAUCUUGUAAAGGCUGAAAAGCACAAAGGCAAGUUUAAAAAGUGAUAUAACAGGGCACCUGGGUGGCUCAGUUGGUUAAGCAUCUGACUUGGGCUCAGGUCAUGAUCUCACAGUUUGUGACUUCGAGCCCUGCAUCAGGUUCCAUGCUGACAGCUGGGAGCCUGGAGUCUGCCUCAGAUUCUGUGUCUCCCUCUCUCUGCUCCUCCCCCCACUCAUGCUCUCUCUCUCUCUUUUUCCCAAAAAUUAAUAAACAUUUAAAAAAUUUUAAAAAGUAAUAUAACAAAAUGCCAACGCAGAACAAGUGGGUUAACAUUUUGUCAUGUUUGCUUCCACAGUUUAGAAAAAUGAACAUUCAAACCCUUCCACUCUCAUUCCCAUACCGUCCUCCCUUCAUCAUGGGAACUGAUAUGAUUUUGGUAUGGAUCUUCCCUGUUAUUUUGUCAUUUUAUAAAUGUUUGUGCCUAUCCCUAUCUUGUCUCUCUGUCUGUUUAAACCUGACCAUUUUCUAUGUAUUUCUAGUUCUGAAGAAACCAGCAGCAGCAGAAGCUCUUCCUUGAACAAGGCACUGGUCAUGCCUCAAUUAGGACCCAUGUUCCUGCUCCCAGUACUUCUGCCCUCACAUCUCCUGAUAGGACAUGGUACCAGUAGGGCAGGACACCAGCCCUGAGGAGAAGAGCCCAGGACUCUUCACAUGGAAUGAGUGCCUUUUCUAUACUGCCAGGAACAUGAGGACAGCCCAACAAUGGCUGUACAGGAGGUACAAAAUGGAUGCUCAUGGUCUGCAGGCUGUUCUCCUCCAAGUGGUGGUUUAAGAAUCUAUCUUGGCCUCCGCCAUCUCCACAACAUGGCUUCCAAAGCUGUUGCCUGGGUCUACGUCAAGCCAGCAGUCGAGUUAAAGCUUAGAGAUUGUGCGUGGGAGGUUUCUACGGGCCAGGCCUGGCAGGGGCACGCGUCACAUGGGCCCUCAUUCUGUUGGCUUGAACUGAGCCUCACAGCUACACGGAACUGAGAAGGAGGCUGCUAACUGUAGUCUAGCCAGGAGCCCCCGAAGAUGAAAAGGCUUCGAUACUAAGUUAGCAGUCUCUGCCACAGUGUGUUAUUAACAUCCCUCACUAGCUUACACGUGUUAAAUAUUUACUGUUCACCGGCAACUGUUCUAAGAGCUUUGCAUUUAAUCUUCAACAGCUCUUUGAGAUACAUACUAGUUUAAUCCGCAUUUUACAAGUGAGGAAACAAGAGGUACACAGAAACGGAGUGAGUUGUCGAAGUCAUACAGCUCAUAUGUGGUGGAGCCUGGAUUUGAACUCAGGCAGCCGAAGACCAGAACAGGUGGCCAGAACCACAACUUUGUACUGCAUCCAGAUGAAGAUUGCAUAGUAUUUCAAAUGCUUGGACGGGCCAACUUUACGUAACCAUUUUCAUAUUGUGAGAGAUUUAGAUUAUAUAUUGAUUAGGUCUCUAAAUAAUGCAUUGCUGAACAUCUUAACGUUUUUCCCCCCUGCAUUAUUGAUUGAUUCCUUAGGAUUAAUUCUUCUUUUUUUAUUUUUAAAAGUUUGCUAAAUCAAGCCUACAAGAGUCUGCUUCCUUUCUGAAUUAUGCACUGCAUACAAAUGACCUCAUUAUUGACAAGACAUUCAUCAUUGGAUGCUAACUGUUUUGGUUCAGCUCUCCCGGUUUGCAAAUUAUUCUCUGCAAAAAUAUUAAUCUGCUUUUGUUGAUAUUCAGCCCUGACGAUACUUGAAUAGACAGAGUUCCUCACUUUACGCAGCAGAGUCAUGAAUUUUUCAUUGGAAAAGAUCUCACAGCUUAUCUGAUCCAAUUCCUUAGUUAAUAGAGAAAGAUAGUUCUAAAAAUGGUGGGGCAAAAAUAGAAAUUUUGUAAACUGAAUCGCAUUUUUUACUGACUAGGGGAGCUUGCUGUCAAAGACAUUCUAUGAGAAAUGCUUCCUGUGAGUGAAAAUUUAGCUUGUGAACAAUUAGGAGCUGUGAGAAUCAAGAUGCAGAAAGGGACCAAACUGUGACAAACUGUUCCUUAGCUUUGGAAGUGAUUUGUCUAUUAUGCAAUAACAGUUAACAUUUACCGGGUGCUUAUUGUACAUCGGAACACCGUGCUCAACACUGUACAUACUUUGUUUCAUUUCAUCCUGGCAACAAACCUGUGGGGUAUUAUAUUGUUAACUGUCCCUGCUGUACAAAUGAGGAAACUGAGAAGAGGCGAGGUUAAAUAAGGAUGCGCUGCUUUAAAAGGCAGAAUCACCCCAACAGAAUAGCUCAUUUCCCCUCAUCAACACCCUUUAUGUCUUUUCAGAUUCUUUGUUUGUCAGGGUCAGGGUGGAGUGCGGGGAUUCCACUCAGGUAGAUCAUUCCAAAAUCCUAAAAUUCUCUUCGUUGUCAGGUUUAAAAAAAAAAAAAAAAAGGAAUAGGAUAGGAAGUUAACUAGUAGCAUGAAAAUCUAAACUUUCUUGAAAGCUGAGUGGGAGGGAUGGGCCAUGUGAAUGCUGAUUGAUUGAUUAAUGAAUGACCUUUCAAGAAGAGGGGACCCACCAGGAAGUCUUUUGUGGGGUUCCCAUUCUCUGUCACUUGCUCAUUCUCUAUUUCAAAAGCCAUCCCACCAGGUGUCUCCCUCCUCCUUCUCUUCCUUCCCCCUCUCCUACAGCCUCCUCCCAACCUCUCCUUGGCCCAGCCUUCCUGCCUAUCUCUGUCCUUUCCUGUCAUUCAAGCCACAACCCUGGAGAACCUUCUCGAGCUUCUCAGAAGGGAGAGGCUGACUUCCAAGAGGGUUCAUCUGUUUUAAAUGAGACACUCCUUCCCAGAUGCAAACCAUUAUCUCAAGACCCCCUUUCCUCAUGUGGAACAGAAGAGUAUCAGGGGCCUACAUAUUCCCCCAUGUGACUGUCCUCCAGUCUCAGGCAACACAGAAGGCCAAGAUCUUGCUCCCAGAGGGCAAUGGGGGCAGCAGGUCCUAGGUCCUAGGGAUCAGGAGUGCUGAGUUCUUUCUGGUGGUCCUUUGGCUGCUGUGUAAAACUGAGGACAGCCAGGUAC